This 68-nucleotide transfer RNA is filed under the name Bittacus pilicornis. Its description in RNAcentral is "tRNA-Ser". Lineage: Eukaryota; Metazoa; Arthropoda; Insecta; Mecoptera; Bittacidae. The record is from RNAcentral.
AGUUAAUGAGCUUGUAUAAGCAUAUGUUUUGAAAACAUAAGAAAGAAAAGCAAAUUUUCUAUUAACUU